GACAGAGGGUGCAAACGUUGUUCGGAAUUACUGGGCGUAAAGCGCGUGUAGGCGGUUUGCAAGUCGGGUGUGAAAUCCCACGGCUCAACCGUGGAAGUGCACUCGAAACUGCAAGGCUAGAGUCCUGGAGAGGAAGGUGGAAUGCUUGGUGUAGAGGUGAAAUUCGUAGAUAUCAAGCGGAACACCGGUGGCGAAGGCGGCCUUCUGGACAGUGACGUGACGCUGAGACGCGAAAGCGUGGGGAGCAAACAGG
This 253-nucleotide ribosomal RNA is filed under the name uncultured bacterium. Its description in RNAcentral is "partial 16S ribosomal RNA". It matches the Rfam family "Bacterial small subunit ribosomal RNA", at positions 524 to 776 of the family's 1533-position model. The record is from RNAcentral.